Molecule: ribosomal RNA, 546 nt
Filed under: uncultured Actinomycetales bacterium
Lineage: Bacteria; Bacillati; Actinomycetota; Actinomycetes; Actinomycetales
Description: bacterial SSU rRNA
Rfam family: Bacterial small subunit ribosomal RNA
Source: RNAcentral
UCGAACGGAAAGGCCCUGCUUGCAGGGUACUCGAGUGGCGAACGGGUGAGUAACACGUGGGUGAUCUGCCCUGCACUUCGGGAUAAGCCUGGGAAACUGGGUCUAAUACCGGAUAGGAGCCAUUUUUAGUGUGAUGGUUGGAAAGUUUUUUCGGUGUAGGAUGAGCUCGCGGCCUAUCAGCUUGUUGGUGGGGUAAUGGCCUACCAAGGCGGCGACGGGUAGCCGGCCUGAGAGGGUGGACGGCCACAUUGGGACUGAGAUACGGCCCAGACUCCUACGGGAGGCAGCAGUGGGGAAUAUUGCACAAUGGGCGCAAGCCUGAUGCAGCGACGCCGCGUGGGGGAUGACGGCCUUCGGGUUGUAAACUCCUUUCGCUAGGGACGAAGCUUUUUGUGACGGUACCUAGAUAAGAAGCACCGGCUAACUACGUGCCAGCAGCCGCGGUAAUACGUAGGGUGCGAGCGUUGUCCGGAAUUACUGGGCGUAAAGGGCUCGUAGGUGGUUUGUCGCGUCGUCUGUGAAUUCCGGGGCUUAACUCCGGGCGUG